AUACGUAGGUGACAAGCGUUAUCCGGAUUUACUGGGCGUAAAGGGCGUGUAGGCGGUCUUGCAAGUCAGAAGUGAAAUUCCUGAGCUCAACUCGGGCGCUGCUUCUGAAACUGCAGGACUUGAGUGCUGGAGGGGAUAGCGGAAUUCCUAGUGGAGCGGUAAAAUGCGCAGAUAUUAGGAAGAACACCGGUGGCGAAGGCGGUUAUCUGAACGGAAACUAACGCUGAGGCGGAAAAGGGUGGGGAGCAAACAGGAUAAAAUACCCUGGUGGUCCACGCGGUAAACGAUGAAUCCUAGGGGUAGGGGGAAUCGACUCCCUCUGUGCCGCAGUUAACACAAUAAGUAUUCCGCCUGGGGAGUACGGCCGCAAGGUGGAAACUCAAGGAAUUGACGGGG
Molecule: ribosomal RNA, 396 nt
Filed under: uncultured bacterium
Lineage: Bacteria
Description: partial 16S ribosomal RNA
Rfam family: Bacterial small subunit ribosomal RNA
Source: RNAcentral